AACAUGUACGCAACCUUCCUUUAACUGGAGAAUAGCCCCUCGAAAGAGGGAUUAAUACUCCGUAACAUAUUGAUAAGGCAUCUUAUUAAUAUUAUAGCUCCGGCGGUUAAAGAUGGGCGUGCACCUGAUUAGAUAGUUGGCGGGGUAAUGGCCCACCAAGUCUGCGAUCAGUAACUGGUGUGAGAGCACGACCAGUCACACGGGCACUGAGACACGGGUCCG
RNAcentral lists this ribosomal RNA (222 nucleotides) under uncultured bacterium. RNAcentral's name for it is "partial 16S ribosomal RNA". It matches the Rfam family "Bacterial small subunit ribosomal RNA", at positions 112 to 334 of the family's 1533-position model. The record is from RNAcentral.